CAGAGUAAAUAUAUGUGCGUUAAGUGUCAUGUGAACGGGGAGUUGUCACAUGAACGAAAAGGUUUCUUGCGGUACAUAUAUUGCAUCCCGCUGC
Molecule: non-coding RNA, 94 nt
Filed under: bovine gut metagenome
Description: THF riboswitch
Rfam family: THF (Tetrahydrofolate) riboswitch aptamer
About the family: THF riboswitch presents a pseudoknot that joins P1-P2 and the loop of P3 and two THF binding.
Source: RNAcentral